CCGGCUCAAUGUGUGAAUCUGACUUGGGGUAAACCCGUGUCCGAGUUGUGCACUAUGGACGUUUCGUCUGCGUAUGUAACGGCGGUGGAAGUCCGUUGAAACACGGCACCUCAGAGGGUCACAGUCCUGUACCACCUGCCUGCACUCGCGCCAAUGACAAGCGCUCCUCGAGUCGCGUAGUUUUGUAAUGCUGCGCCAAGUGGGAGGUAGAGACCUUCUAAGGCUAAAUAUGAUGACGUGACCGAUAGCACA
Molecule: ribosomal RNA, 252 nt
Filed under: Tulasnella sp. 2 CRJH-2017
Lineage: Eukaryota; Fungi; Basidiomycota; Agaricomycetes; Cantharellales; Tulasnellaceae
Description: partial 28S ribosomal RNA
Rfam family: Eukaryotic large subunit ribosomal RNA
Source: RNAcentral